Molecule: non-coding RNA, 89 nt
Organism: Termitomyces sp. T32_za158
Lineage: Eukaryota; Fungi; Basidiomycota; Agaricomycetes; Agaricales; Lyophyllaceae
Source: the annotation of a GenBank genome assembly
GGGUCGAUGGCGUAGUUGGUUAUCGCACCUGUCUCACAUACGAUGAUAUGGUACACAGGAGGUCCUCAGUUCGAGCCUGGGUCGACUCA